GGACAACAUUGCAAGAUUAACUGACCCUUCUUAGUUGAUACUGGAUGAGCGGUGUCAUUCUGUUAUGUGGUGGGAGUUUGAAUAAAGUGUUUCAUUUUUAGAGUUGCAGCAGGCAUAUUGGGAUGGCUGAUUAAUGGCCAAUAAUUUUUAGUGUUUCAUCAAUCUGCUCAAGUUGUAAUGAGUAUUCUAUUGUAACUUUUUUCUGGGAACAUUAUCUCCAUCCUCUUUUUGAUGGAAGAAUGCAUCUCUUUAGAAGUUCAUGCUGUAAAUGUAAGUUAUUGUUGAAUAAUACUUCGCUCAUCUCUCUUCUCACUUCAUGUCUGUUAAAUAGGUUGAGUAAUACACUUAAAUCUGGAGGCGGCUAAAUUAUUGGACAUGGGAUGGAUGAUUGUUGUGAUGUGGUCGAGACUGAAAAUCUGACUGUUAUCGGUAUGUUUUGUGUUAGAGAUUCCAUUUAUUGGCUUUCUUCUUGUUACACUUUUUUAACCAGAUUUUGUAGAUAUAGAAUUUAAAUUUCAGUAACAUGAUAUAUAUAAAUUUACUCAACAUUCUGUAACUUCGCUUUUUCCACAGUGGUUUUUCCACAUUUUUUGUUUUACAUGGUGUUAACUAGAAGGAGAGUUGAAACAGGGUGAAGUAGGGGAAGUGUGGUAAGAGUUGAGAAGGGGAGGAAAUGGCUGAGAUUGCUACUAUCUGAAGUAGGGAGGUCAAAGUCACUAGACGGAGUUUCUACUGGGCAGCAGCGAUAGUGCCAACCUGGGGAAGCAUUGGCGGAAUGGAGGUCUUCUUGGCAUUAGUCAAGUGUUAUCUCAGCAUGAUAUUAGUCACGUGUUAUCUCUGUAUUUUUGUCUUACACUUACGCCUUGAGGCAUUCAUCACAUGAGAAAUCAAGAUGCUGGAUUGAGGAGGAAAAUCUGCAGACAGAUACAGGGAUUGAUACAUAAAAACUGUCAACAAGCCUGAAGUGAUUGACAUUAUAUUGCCCUUAUUUAUUGAAAGUCUAGAAGAGGGUGAUGCUUUAACUCUUGUUAUUUAUUGACCUUUUUACUUGUGUAAGAAAGAAAAACAUGCCUAUAUUUUUCUUUGCUUUUAGAAUUUUAGAUCUGGAUUUUGUACGGAUAUUGUUACAUUUUUUAGUUCAAUUAAUAAUUACUAUUGGAGUUAUUUGAGAU
RNAcentral lists this long non-coding RNA (1172 nucleotides) under Olea europaea subsp. europaea. The record is from RNAcentral. Lineage: Eukaryota; Viridiplantae; Streptophyta; Magnoliopsida; Lamiales; Oleaceae.